UACGGGGGGGGCAAGCGUUGUUCGGAAUUACUGGGCGUAAAGGGCUCGUAGGUGGCCAACUAAGUCAGACGUGAAAUCCCUCGGCUUAACCGGGGAACUGCGUCUGAUACUGGAUGGCUUGAGUUUGGGAGAGGGAUGCGGAAUUCCAGGUGUAGCGGUGAAAUGCGUAGAUAUCUGGAGGAACACCGAUUGCGAAGGCAGCUCGCUGGAACGUAACUGACGCUGAGACGCGAAAGCGUGGGGAGCAAACAGG
This 253-nucleotide ribosomal RNA is filed under the name uncultured bacterium. Its description in RNAcentral is "partial 16S ribosomal RNA". It matches the Rfam family "Bacterial small subunit ribosomal RNA", at positions 524 to 776 of the family's 1533-position model. The record is from RNAcentral.